UAACUGAUUAAAACUUAUC
Molecule: small nuclear RNA, 19 nt
Filed under: Arabidopsis thaliana (thale cress)
Lineage: Eukaryota; Viridiplantae; Streptophyta; Magnoliopsida; Brassicales; Brassicaceae
Description: snRNA_06626
Source: RNAcentral